GCGCCAGUAGCUCAGCCGGAUAGAGCAACUGCCUUCUAAGCAGUGGGUCCGGGGUUCGAAUCCCUGCUGGCGCGCCA
This 77-nucleotide transfer RNA is filed under the name Deltaproteobacteria bacterium. Its description in RNAcentral is "tRNA-Arg". It matches the Rfam family "tRNA". From Rfam's summary of the family: Transfer RNA (tRNA) molecules are approximately 80 nucleotides in length. The record is from RNAcentral. Lineage: Bacteria; Pseudomonadati; Myxococcota; Myxococcia.